ACGGAGGGUGCGAGCGUUAAUCGGAAUCACUGGGCGUAAAGAGCAUGUAGGCGGCUAGUUAAGUCUAGCGUGAAAAUGCGGGGCUCAACCCCGUAUGGCGCUGGAAACUGAAUAGCUUGAGUGCAGGAGAGGAAAGGGGAAUUCCCAGUGUAGCGGUGAAAUGCGUAGAAAUUGGGAGGAACACCAGUGGCGAAGGCGCCUUUCUGGACUGUGUCUGACGCUGAGAGGCGAAAGCCAGGGUAGCGAACGG
RNAcentral lists this ribosomal RNA (250 nucleotides) under uncultured bacterium. Its description in RNAcentral is "partial 16S ribosomal RNA". It matches the Rfam family "Bacterial small subunit ribosomal RNA", at positions 525 to 775 of the family's 1533-position model. The record is from RNAcentral.